GGAAGAAACAAUCAAAAGGAAAACUGUUUUUACAGCUUGUGACAAGGUAAUACCAAUAAAUAGGAAUGGCGCCUUGAUCGUUCAUCCCAGAGACCCUAAUACUUAGUUUGACUGUAUAAUUUAUCGUCCAAACCAAGAUUUUUUUUUAGAGAGCGAAAGGGGGUGCAAUUAACAAUUACGCUGGAACAACAGGUGUGAAUUAGAACAUUUCAGGCAAACGGGACAAAUGAUCACCCUACUAAUACUAGAAAGGAGAAGGAUUAAUUAUAAGAGAAGAACACUGACAUGGGGCAGGUUUUUAAUUAAUAUUUAAUAUGGAAAGGAAUUUUUUAAAGAGUUUAAUACAUGCUCAUUUUAACUAUAGAGGUUGGUGAUAUCCCAGUCAUAUCCUCUUUGUACUGAUCAUUAAAUCAGUGAGUCUUAUCUUGUUAAAUGGUAGGUUAUUUUAUAUAUUUCAGACACAUUGAAAGGAACAUUGAUUUUUUUUAACCCUGAAAACCAAUUAGUAGAGCAUAAUAAUGCCCUUGUCUCCUGAACAUGAAUGCCCAUUCCACUGGGGAGUAACCUACUUACCUGGAAAACAGGAGUUUUCAAUCUAUCUUUUGGACGUGUCGCGUCUUAAAGGACGGUUAUCUUGGAGAAGGGAUUUGAUGUUGGUGUUGAAGAAAGCUCAUCAAUGGCUUGGCAAGAAAUAAGAGAUGAAGAGUUCUGGAAGCCUGUAAAGAAAAGCUCAUAGAAGAGAACAGGUGAAACUUUAGGAAAGGACACCAAGGAACUAAUAAUAAUUUUUUUUAAAGGAUUGUUAUAUCUGAGGUAACUUUGGGGGGAAGCUGGGUGAAGGGUACACGGCACUUCCCUGGACUAUACAAAUACUUGUGAGUUUAUAAUUAUUUCAAAAUAAAAAGUUUAAACAGA
This is a long non-coding RNA of Aethalodelphis obliquidens (Pacific white-sided dolphin), 915 nucleotides long. RefSeq lists it as uncharacterized. The transcript has 2 exons. The record is from RefSeq and is a predicted model, not a curated record. NCBI's taxonomy places the organism in Eukaryota, Metazoa, Chordata, Mammalia, Artiodactyla, Delphinidae.